GUCCACGCUGUAAACGAUGAAUACUUGGUGUUGGUCCCAUUGGGAUCAGUGCCGAAGCUAACGCAUUAAGUAUUCCACCUGGGGAGUACGAUCGCAAGGUUGAAACUCAAAGGAAUUGACGGGGGCCCGCACAAGCAGUGGAGCAUGUGGUUUAAUUCGAUGCAACGCGAAGAACCUUACCUAGGCUUGAAAAGCAAGUGACAGGUUGUGAAAGCAACCCUCCCGCAAGGGUACUUGUACAGGUGCUGCAUGGCUGUCGU
This 260-nucleotide ribosomal RNA is filed under the name uncultured bacterium. RNAcentral describes it as "partial 16S ribosomal RNA". It matches the Rfam family "Bacterial small subunit ribosomal RNA", at positions 793 to 1055 of the family's 1533-position model. The record is from RNAcentral.